RNAcentral lists this ribosomal RNA (253 nucleotides) under uncultured bacterium. Its description in RNAcentral is "partial 16S ribosomal RNA". It matches the Rfam family "Bacterial small subunit ribosomal RNA", at positions 524 to 776 of the family's 1533-position model. The record is from RNAcentral.
UACGAAGGGUGCAAGCGUUACUCGGAAUUACUGGGCGUAAAGCGUGCGUAGGCGGUUUGUUAAGUCCGUUGUGAAAGCCCUGGGCUCAACCUGGGAAUUGCAGUGGAUACUGGCAAGCUAGAGUACGGUAGAGGAUGGUGGAAUUCCCGGUGUAGCGGUGAAAUGCGUAGAGAUCGGGAGGAACACCCGUGGCGAAGGCGGCCAUCUGGACCAGUACUGACGCUGAGGCACGAAAGCGUGGGGAGCAAACAGG